RNAcentral lists this long non-coding RNA (431 nucleotides) under Setaria viridis. RNAcentral's name for it is "long non-coding RNA (SVIR_LNC010624)". The record is from RNAcentral. Lineage: Eukaryota; Viridiplantae; Streptophyta; Magnoliopsida; Poales; Poaceae.
UCGGGGGCUGCUUGGUGGAGAGACGGUGGCGCAAGUGUUUGAAGAUUGAACAAUGGUAGUGGUGCUAGGGCUAAUGUGUGGAAGUUGGAAAGGCAAAUGGCAAGGGUAAACUGGAAGGGAUAAGUACGCAAAUAAAGGGCAUUCGAUUUAAGCAUCCCCAGAAUUCUGGACACCUUGUUGGCGGUUUUCUUUAUUUCGGGAGGAGACAAGAUCUCUUUCCAGAGAUGGUCACGUUGACCAAAGGAUGACCCUUAUACCCACCAAACUAGUCGGCUAAAGGCUCAGGGGCUAUGUGCCACGUGUCCAUCGACAAAAAACAAUUCUACAAGUUUUAAGGGGAAAGUGAUGCAAAUUACAGAUUGACCCUCAGCCUGAUUCUUCGAUUCAACCUAUGGCUCAGGGGCUACUCCAUGUGGAGUGCGACUUUCGUC